AACGGUCUAUACCUGCGGUACCUGCGGAAGGAUCAUUACCGAGUUAUCGACUCCCAAACCCCUGUGAACAUACCCGAACGUUGCCUCGGCGGGACCGCCCCGGCGCCCCUAGCGGCCCGGAACCAGGCGCCCGCCGGAGGACCCAAACUCUUGCUUUAAACAGUGGCAUACUCUCUGAGUCUCACAAACAAAAAAUAAAUCAAAACUUUUAACAAUGGAUCUCUAGAUCGGAAGAGCACA
This 240-nucleotide unclassified non-coding RNA is filed under the name soil metagenome. RNAcentral's name for it is "partial contains 5.8S ribosomal RNA, internal transcribed spacer 2, and large subunit ribosomal RNA". The record is from RNAcentral.